UACGUAGGGACCGAGCGUUGUCCGGAAUCAUUGGGCGUAAAGAGCUCGUAGGCGGCUUGUCGCGUCGUCCGUGAAAACCUGGGGCUCAACCCCAGGCUUGCGGUCGAUACGGGCAGGCUCGAGUUCGGUAGGGGAGACUGGAAUUCCUGGUGUAGCGGUGAAAUGCGCAGAUAUCAGGAGGAACACCGGUGGCGAAGGCGGGUCUCUGGGCCGAUACUGACGCUGAGGAGCGAAAGCGUGGGGAGCGAACAGG
This 253-nucleotide ribosomal RNA is filed under the name uncultured bacterium. Its description in RNAcentral is "partial 16S ribosomal RNA". It matches the Rfam family "Bacterial small subunit ribosomal RNA", at positions 524 to 776 of the family's 1533-position model. The record is from RNAcentral.